This 466-nucleotide ribosomal RNA is filed under the name uncultured bacterium. Its description in RNAcentral is "bacterial SSU rRNA". It matches the Rfam family "Bacterial small subunit ribosomal RNA", at positions 8 to 487 of the family's 1533-position model. The record is from RNAcentral.
AGAGUUUGAUCCUGGCUCAGGAUGAACGCUGGCGGCGUGCUUAACACAUGCAAGUCGAACGAUGAUGCCAGCUUGCUGGUGGAUUAGUGGCGAACGGGUGAGUAACACGUGAGUAACCUGCCCUUAACUCUGGGAUAACCCUGGGAAACUGGGUCUAAUACCGGAUAUGACUCCUCAUCGCAUGGGGGGGGGGGGAAAGCUUUAUUGUGGUUUUGGAUGGACUCGCGGCGUAUCAGCUUGUUGGUGAGGUAAUGGCUUACCAAGGCGACUACGGAUACCCGGCCUGAGAGGGUGACCGGCCACUGUGGGACUGAGACACGGCCCACACCCCUACGGGACGCAGCAGUGGAGAAUUUUGCACUGUGCGCGCAAUUCUGACGCUACGACGCCGCGUGAGGUAAGACGUCCUUCGGUUUGUAAAUCUCUUUCCGUAGGGAAGACGCGAAAGUGACGGCACCUGCAAAAA